ACAAUUCAUUAGGUCUGUAUAGAUAUUUUUCAGUGCAGCUUAUUCUACAUUAUAGUGAACAACUACCUGCCUACUUGUUUAUAAAUUUCCCGAAGUUUUAUUUUUUUAACUUUUUACUGUUUUUCAUAUUAUUAAACUAUUUGAAUUAACACGAAGUUGAAGAAUCCAUUGAUCGUAUAAGCCUGUGUAAUUUUCGCUUACCUCGAAUACCUCCUAACUAUCUUGGUUAAUUGGUUUUCACGAUGGCGAACAUGGCAAUCAUAAUCAUACUAACAAUCAUAGUUUUAAUUAAUACUGCUCAAAGUAUAAAUUUCUUUACGAAUACUAAAACUGAUUGUUUUGGGAGUAAAGCUGAUAACUAUGUUGAGAGUCCAUAUGAUAAACAAAUUAAAGAUACGUUGCUUAAAUUGGUUUUGGCUGCUGUUGACAAAGGCAAUCAGAUUGAUGCUGCUCAACUUGAGUCUCAACAUACUGGUAAAUUGGUUGGGACUGCUGCUGACGAUACAUGGACCGCAACUACAUCUUACAUCGGUGAUUAAGGAGCAGUGUUAGACCAGAUAAAUAGUUUUUCUUCUAGAUACUUUGUUAAAAGAUAUAAAGAUAAUAGACCAAAAGUCUAUUUAGAUAAAGAUAAAAAUAAGCUCAACCAAAAAUAUAUAUUUGAUAGAUAAAAUAUGACCAUAAUUUACCUACAUAAAAAGCAGAUACAUGUUUAAAAAAAUAAUGAUUUAAAAUUAAAAUUUCAUUAUAUCAAAAAAAUUGUAUCAGGCUUUUAAGUUAUCAUGUAAUUAUGUAAACAACAUUUUGUGUGUUUUGAAGGUAUUUUAAAUGUGUCAAUUUUUAAGUUUUGCAUCUAUAAUUUACAUUAUUAUUUUUUUUAUCGGUUUUGAUUUCAAAAAAAACAAGUACCUACCCACAUUUUUCCGUAAUCAAUGGAUUUUUUUCAACAAAACGACGUUAGGAUUUGAAUUUAUAAUUAUUAAUUGAUUUAUUACAAUAAGAUUUAACUAAUAUUGGGAAAAAUUUUAAAUUAAGAAUAAAGUGAAAAUUGUGAUUGUA
Molecule: long non-coding RNA, 1059 nt
Organism: Metopolophium dirhodum (rose-grain aphid)
Lineage: Eukaryota; Metazoa; Arthropoda; Insecta; Hemiptera; Aphididae
Exons: 2
Source: RefSeq, a predicted model, not a curated record